GCCGGACGAUGCAAUUGUUAUCCGGAAUCACUGGGCGUAAAGCGUCUGUAGGUGGUCAAAUAAAUCAACUGUUAAAUCUUGAGGCUCAACCUCAAAAUCGCAGUCGAAACUAUUAGACUAGAGUAUAGUAGGGGUAAAGGGAAUUUCCAGUGGAGCGGUGAAAUGCGUAGAGAUUGGAAAGAACACCGAUGGCGAAGGCACUUUACUGGGCUAUUACUAACACUGAGAGACGAAAGCUAGGGUAGCAAAUGGG
Molecule: ribosomal RNA, 253 nt
Filed under: uncultured bacterium
Lineage: Bacteria
Description: partial 16S ribosomal RNA
Rfam family: Bacterial small subunit ribosomal RNA
Source: RNAcentral